RNAcentral lists this ribosomal RNA (253 nucleotides) under uncultured bacterium. Its description in RNAcentral is "partial 16S ribosomal RNA". It matches the Rfam family "Bacterial small subunit ribosomal RNA", at positions 524 to 776 of the family's 1533-position model. The record is from RNAcentral.
UACGAAGGGGGCUAGCGUUGCUCGGAAUCACUGGGCGUAAAGGGCGCGUAGGCGGCCCUCCUUGUCGCGUGUGAAAGCCCCGGGCUCAACCUGGGAACGGCGCGCGAGACGGGGGGGCUGGAGUUCGGGAGAGGAGCGUGGAAUUCCCAGUGUAGAGGUGAAAUUCGUAGAUAUUGGGAAGAACACCGGUGGCGAAGGCGGCGCUCUGGACCGAGACUGACGCUGAGGCGCGAAAGCGUGGGGAGCGAACAGG